Molecule: ribosomal RNA, 722 nt
Filed under: uncultured Fusobacterium sp.
Lineage: Bacteria; Fusobacteriati; Fusobacteriota; Fusobacteriia; Fusobacteriales; Fusobacteriaceae
Description: bacterial SSU rRNA
Rfam family: Bacterial small subunit ribosomal RNA
Source: RNAcentral
GAUGAACGCUGACAGAAUGCUUAACACAUGCAAGUCAACUUGAACUUCGGUUUGGGUGGCGGACGGGUGAGUAACGCGUAAAGAACUUGCCUCACAGUUAGGGACAACAUUUGGAAACGAAUGCUAAUACCUGAUAUUAUGAUUUUAGGGCAUCCUAGAAUUAUGAAAGCUAUAUGCGCUGUGAGAGAGCUUUGCGUCCCAUUAGCUAGUUGGAGAGGUAACGGCUCACCAAGGCGAUGAUGGGUAGCCGGCCUGAGAGGGUGAACGGCCACAAGGGGACUGAGGCACGGCCCUUACUCCUACGGGAGGCAGCAGUGGGGAAUAUUGGACAAUGGACCAAGAGUCUGAUCCAGCAAUUCUGUGUGCACGAUGAAGUUUUUCGGAAUGUAAAGUGCUUUCAGUUGGGAAGAAAAAAAUGACGGUACCAACAGAAGAAGUGACGGCUAAAUACGUGCCAGCAGCCGCGGUAAUACGUAUGUCACAAGCGUUAUCCGGAUUUAUUGGGCGUAAAGCGCGUCUAGGUGGUUAUAUAAGUCUGAUGUGAAAAUGCAGGGCUCAACUCUGUAUUGCGUUGGAAACUGUGUAACUAGAGUACUGGAGAGGUAAGCGGAACUACAAGUGUAGAGGUGAAAUUCGUAGAUAUUUGUAGGAAUGCCGAUGGGGAAGCCAGCUUACUGGACAGAUACUGACGCUGAAGCGCGAAAGCAUGGGUAGCAAACAGG